This is a non-coding RNA of Camelina sativa (false flax), 145 nucleotides long. The record is from RefSeq and is a predicted model, not a curated record. NCBI's taxonomy places the organism in Eukaryota, Viridiplantae, Streptophyta, Magnoliopsida, Brassicales, Brassicaceae.
CAUGCAGGUUGAUGCAACGUACAGACUUUGCCUUUGAAAGGGUAAGGUGGCAACCUAAAGAUUGCUCUAUGGAAGAAUUUGAGGGUUCCAGAUUCUUGAGAAGGAUGAAGAACAAAACCCUAGCCUUUGUUGGAGACUCAUUGGG